RNAcentral lists this ribosomal RNA (397 nucleotides) under uncultured bacterium. Its description in RNAcentral is "partial 16S ribosomal RNA". It matches the Rfam family "Bacterial small subunit ribosomal RNA", at positions 523 to 918 of the family's 1533-position model. The record is from RNAcentral.
AUACGUAGGUGGCAAGCGUUGUCCGGAAUUAUUGGGCGUAAAGCGCGCGCAGGUGGUUCCUUAAGUCUGAUGUGAAAGCCCCCGGCUCAACCGGGGAGGGUCAUUGGAAACUGGGGAACUUGAGUGCAGAAGAGGAUAGUGGAAUUCCAAGUGUAGCGGUGAAAUGCGUAGAGAUUUGGAGGAACACCAGUGGCGAAGGCGACUGUCUGGUCUGUAACUGACACUGAGGCGCGAAAGCGUGGGGAGCAAACAGGAUUAGAUACCCUGGUAGUCCACGCCGGAAACGAUGAGUGCUAAGUGUUGGGGGGUUUCCGCCCCUCAGUGCUGCAGCUAACGCAUUAAGCACUCCGCCUGGGGAGUACGGUCGCAAGACUGAAACUCAAAUGAAUUGACGGGG